GGCGUUGUAGAUCUUCAGGGCUGGUCCCAACUUGAUGCUCAUGAUCUUCACUAUAUCCAUUUGAGUCAGCAGGAGAAAAGCCUCUCCGUCUAUCAUCUGCAGAGGAAGGUAGCGUUUCUGGCUGGAUUGUGCAGGGAAAGCAGACUGACCUGUUGUGGAAGCUGUAUUUGGAGUUGCUGCGGGAAUUCGGGCCGCUUUUACACGGCGUUGAGGUGAAACUGGGCGGAGCUGCAGCUGCGGUUUCCCUCGGACCUAAAAGAAGACGCGUGAAGUUAAACUCCACGUUCAGCAUGCAUGCGGCGGGACGCUGGGCGGGAUCGAGGGAGGAGGUUUUAGAGGAUGACCCGUGCUCUCACACCAUCCUACAGGGUGAAUAUCAGGAUGAUCCGAGUCCACCCACUCGUCAUACACAUGACUCCAACCGUCAAAAUGGAUCUGAUGGUUAAAAACACAGUUUUCCAACCACAUCCUGAAACAGUCUGUACCUCCUGGAAGAGUUUGGCCGGAGCUGCAACGGCCUUCUGCUCGUCCAGAUACUGCGCCCACGACCACGACUCGGCUUUAGCGUCUGUUCCUGCGCAGAUAAACACACUCCUGAGAUCAUCACGUACCGCAGAACCGAACAGCAACUGGCUCACAUGAACCGAGUUCUCCUGGACCUCUGAGUUAACUUUAAUGAGCCGACCGCCAUCGACACACGCGGCCUGGACAUCUAGAGACGCAACACACACUUCUGAUCAGUAUGGAGAGAGGACGUGACAAACACCAACACGUCGUUAUGGAUAAACAGAAUUUACUGACUGAUGUUUGGCUGCUGCUUAAUUCCAACGUCUUUAUUCUGGAUAAAUAAAACGCAGCUAAAUUAAUCCGUUCCACAACAUUAAACUUAACUAUUAACUAUGGACAAGCAUACAUCUGUAUUUAUUUAUAAAAUCUUUUUUUUUUGUUUGUUCGUUUUUUUGUUGUUUUUUUUUGUCUUUUUUGCUCCAGAAUAUUACACUCCUCCCACAAAAAUCCAUGAUGUAGUCUGUUAAUGCAGAACACAUUUUUAUUUUACACAGCAUCUGUACUCUCUAGGGCAUUUCAGAGAUCAAAUUGACGUAAUCUGGCUUUUUUUUUUUUGUCCCAUUUGAGUUACAUUUUAGUGUAGGUUCUGAUUUUAAUCCCUCAGACCUGGAGAAUAACCUGGUUAUAAGAACGCACCCUCCUAUAACUAUAUCCCGUAACUAACACAGCUACUGCAAUAACACUAACAAAUCGGGGAAAAUAUAUAAUAUGUACAUUUUAAAAAAAAAAAUGUAGAACCUUCUAGAGGGCAAACAGAAUGUUUUAUAAUCCGGAGAAUAUAGUCAAUGGAGUAUGAGAGUUAAAUAAAAAUGAAAGUGUUAUGAAGAAGAAUGUUACGUGAACGAAACAGGAACAGCAGAGGACCGUAAAUUCGUAUGCAAAUGAAAACCGUUUCGUACUCGUAUCCAGAAAACACGCAAACAUGAUUCAUACCGACUGGUCCGUUACGUCGCCAUUAAACACUUUUUUUUCUUUAACUACCGUAACUCCUGGAGUAGCAGAGCUGCCGUAAUAACACUAACUAUCUGCCAUGUUAUAUAACAGUUGCUUUGGGUUAAUAUACAGUGAGGUCCAAAUAUUUAAUAUUUAAUUAAAUAUUUAAUUUGAUGAUAUUAUCAGCAACUACUAGAGUGAAAAGCAGAAUCUUAGAAAUAUUUACAUGAAUUUCAGAGUUUCUUAGUAUUUGUAUUUGCUUUAAUGACAGCGUGCACUCAAACUGGCACAGACUCCACAAGUUUGUGUAAAACCUGAUGAGCCAUUUUAGAUCAGAUCCAUCAGAGUGUUGUCUGAUCACACGCUUCAGUAGAAGAGAUUAGAUGUGAGGAAACUCUGACCUUCUCUACAAAGCAGUUAACCUGCUCAAUAUCACAUUUAAAUACCUAGAAAUGCCGCAGAAUCUUCAAUAUUCGAGAUGUUGCACAUUUCUUUUGUUUGUUUUACAAGUUUUAACAUUCUAAAACUUUGUUUAUUUACAACUUUAAAUAAAAUAAAAUCCCAGAUUUUCAAUGUAGAAUCAGACUUUUGGACCCCACUGUAUGUGCUCUCUGCAUUUUAGUUUGCUAUGUUUUACCUCCGUUAUAUAAACAUGUAAUUUUCUUAGUUUUAUUAUUGGUUUUUAUUCCUUUUCCUUUAUUUAAAAUUUUAUUAGUCAUUGUUAUUACAUGAUUUUAUGUAUGUAGCUAUACAGUGUCAUUGAGUACUACUACGACUAUUAAUAAUAAUAAUAAUAAUAAUAAGAGUUAUGUUGCUGUACAAGUUACAGAACUGUUAAAAAGUCAUAUAGUCUAGAAAUUACGGUAAUAAGCAAAUGGUUCCUGAGAGAGACUGAUGUCCGCCCUGAGCAUCAACGUCUCAUCCACUUGCUAAUUACCGUAAAAUUUCCAGUAGUGCCGUAAACCUCAGACGUCCAUGCGAUAUGAUACAAUACAAUUUCGAUUCAUAAGGUAACGACUUGAUAUUUAACGAUACCAGCAAAUCUGCUACGAUUCUAUACGAAAUCAUAUUUGUAUAAAAUUUGAUCUGAUUCCCAAAUGUGCAUGUAGUCGAGUACCAAUGUAUUGAUCGCGUUUUUCCAUUUUCAGUACCGAUAUCAGAGACUUUAAGCUCACCUAAUACUGAUUAAUACUUUAAAACGUGAUGCGGUUUGAUCGAAUUUUAUAUCCUCUGAGCGACAUGUGGUCAAAUAUGUUCAGAAUCUGAGGAACACCUUCCGUUAAUUCGCAAAUGAUGAUGAUGUAGAGAAAGACUAUUUUAAAAGUAUCAACCAAAUCAUCUUGCUAACAUGUUAAUUAAUUACACAUCAGUUUAAAAAUAUAUUUUUUUCUGUAUAUAAUCAAUUAUGAUCUGUAAUAAUCCAUUGAGGAUUGUUGCAUCAAUUCAUUUCGAAUCGAAGAAUCAAUCAAAAUCGUCAGAUCGUUACACCGCUAAUUUCCAGACUACAGAACAUUCUAGCAUGAAGAACCGAGAAGACUCGGAUAAAUCUAGUUAGGACGAGAACGUUCUCCGUGAGAAGAUGUGUCAUGGCAUCAAGUUUAUCAGAGGAACACUGCAGACCUGCUGA
Molecule: long non-coding RNA, 3127 nt
Organism: Pangasianodon hypophthalmus (striped catfish)
Lineage: Eukaryota; Metazoa; Chordata; Actinopteri; Siluriformes; Pangasiidae
Exons: 5
Source: RefSeq, a predicted model, not a curated record